This is a long non-coding RNA of Quercus robur (English oak), 322 nucleotides long. RefSeq lists it as uncharacterized. The transcript has 4 exons. The record is from RefSeq and is a predicted model, not a curated record. NCBI's taxonomy places the organism in Eukaryota, Viridiplantae, Streptophyta, Magnoliopsida, Fagales, Fagaceae.
GUGUUGGAUGGCAGAGUGUGUUACGCACACAAGCGAGAAAACAACUUGGAUCUUGGGCACAAUCAUUUUCUCUUUGCAUCCACUUAAAUAAUUAGAUAGAACAGUUGUUGCUGUUGCACUAAAGUGUGAAACAACCUAGGCACAAUUUGACGACAUGGCCACCAGGUGCUCCUAGAACUCUUUUUGGUCUAAAUUUCUACAUAGAUAUGCCAAUUAGAUCUAGAAGGUAUCCCAAAUACCUAAAAGUCGCUAAGGAUGGGACAAAGAGAAAGCUCAUGGCAUUCAAGAAAAAAGAAAACAUUAUUGGGAAUUUUUAUUUUAA